CCGUCUUGUUCAGUACCUUACCCCCCCCCCCCGCAUGUCCCUGGUGCCUGACAUUUCGGUUGGUGACUAAAUAUUUGUUGAAGGGAAGAAACCCGAGCAGUAAGAAGGGAUCCGCAGAGAGAGAAAGUCACAGCGCACGUCCUUGUAAAAGCUCACUGCGGGAUUUGGGGUUUCUCCUGGGAGAGAACGGGAGCACUCCUGAAGCUUGUGUGUCCGACUGAUCUCAUAUUAUGGUCUCCGGGUGCUUCGUCUGUUUGCCUUGUUCAGAGGAUUCCAGGCGCCUGCGCCCUGAGAUACAGUCAGGCGUGGAUUCUGCGGCUUAGUCACCGUCACCGUACAAACAUCCCGAGGCACAAUGACGCAGACCGGCUACACGUCCAGGCAGCGCACCACUCAGCUGCGCACUGCAGACCACGACACCAAGGGAACCAUAAAGCAACCUGGACAUAGACAUGGUGGAUCAAGACACUCUAACUGCUCAGUCAGAACCCAGUGACGGAGGGUUGUUGAUGGUUGCUGGCACCACAAGCAAACAAAACAAGCCAAAUCUUUAAAGAAAAUAAUUACGAAAAAUCCUAUAGCUAAAUUAAAAGUUUUGUUUCAACAGAAAAACCUGAAAAGUGUGUGAUGUCCUACCAUGAGUUAAAUAUACAUGCCAAGAGGCUGCGGGGGGGGGGGGGGACUGCUCCACUGUUGGAGGGAGUGUGGACUGGUUC
Molecule: long non-coding RNA, 716 nt
Filed under: Cavia porcellus (domestic guinea pig)
Lineage: Eukaryota; Metazoa; Chordata; Mammalia; Rodentia; Caviidae
Description: lncRNA (ENSCPOG00000034631.1)
Source: RNAcentral